CUAGCUAAGGUCAAGCACUGCAACAGUUCUUAUCAGUUCAAUAACUGAUAUGUCUUUAAUGGGAAGACUUUCUAUUAAACAGAUCUUGGGGCUCAGGAUUUGGAUCUGGAGCUUGCUCUUUUCACUUUGUGCACUGUUUCUGACAUCAUGAACGUGGCAUUUAGGGACACAGAUUU
RNAcentral lists this small nuclear RNA (176 nucleotides) under Gallus gallus (chicken). RNAcentral describes it as "U2 spliceosomal RNA (ENSGALG00010023796.1)". It matches the Rfam family "U2 spliceosomal RNA". Rfam says of the family: U2 is a small nuclear RNA (snRNA) component of the spliceosome (involved in pre-mRNA splicing). Lineage: Eukaryota; Metazoa; Chordata; Aves; Galliformes; Phasianidae. The record is from Rfam by way of RNAcentral.